AUACGGAGGGUGCAAGCGUUAAUGGGAAUUACUGGGCGUAAAGCGCGCGUAGGCGGUUUGGUAAGUCGGAUGGGAAAGCCCCGGGCUCAACCUGGGAAUUGCAUUCGAUACUGCCAGACUAGAGUAUGGUAGAGGGAAGUGGAAUUCCGGGUGUAGCGGUGAAAUGCGUAGAUAUCCGGAGGAACACCAGUGGCGAAGGCGACUUCCUGGACCAAUACUGACGCUGAGGUGCGAAAGCGUGGGGAGCAAACAGGAUUAGAAACCCUAGUAGUCC
Molecule: ribosomal RNA, 274 nt
Filed under: uncultured bacterium
Lineage: Bacteria
Description: partial 16S ribosomal RNA
Rfam family: Bacterial small subunit ribosomal RNA
Source: RNAcentral